This is a small nucleolar RNA of Cavia aperea (Brazilian guinea pig), 133 nucleotides long. The record is from Ensembl. NCBI's taxonomy places the organism in Eukaryota, Metazoa, Chordata, Mammalia, Rodentia, Caviidae.
AGCCUUUGUGUUGCCCAUUCACUUUUGAAAGCUAGUGAAUGUGGUGUCAAAAAAGUCAUAAAUAAAAGCUUUGCAGCUUUUUCCUGCCCUUAUAUUUGGUAUAUUUGGUGUAGGAGCCGCAUAAGUAACUGUU